GUGUUGUAUGAAAGGAGAGAAGUUUAGCACUCCCCUUGACAAGGAUGGAACACAUAUGGUUAAGAGAGAGCACACUUAACCAAAAGUUUUU
Molecule: small nuclear RNA, 91 nt
Organism: Diorhabda sublineata
Lineage: Eukaryota; Metazoa; Arthropoda; Insecta; Coleoptera; Chrysomelidae
Source: RefSeq, a predicted model, not a curated record